RNAcentral lists this ribosomal RNA (119 nucleotides) under Pteropus alecto (black flying fox). Lineage: Eukaryota; Metazoa; Chordata; Mammalia; Chiroptera; Pteropodidae. The record is from RNAcentral.
GUCUACGGCCAUGCCACCCUGAACAUACCCGAUCUUGUCUGAUCUUGGAAGCUAAGCAGGGUUAGGGUUGGUUAGUACUUAGAUGGGAGACCACCUAGGAAGACAGGGUUCUGUAAGCA